ACUAUUUCUCUUCUUUCUCCUAUAGUAUGUAACCAUACUCCCUCACUGAGAACCUUCUUGUCCCCAUGAAGGUUAAAAAUCUGGAUCAUUCAGUUCUGGGACAGGCUAAAUCCUAAGUUAAUAGUUUUAUUGUUUAAGAUUGAUGAUUAUGCCUGUUGAUUAAAAUAACUAGUAUUAAAAUGCGGUCUUGAGUAGGAACAGUCAGUUUAGGUGGGGUUUGGUUGCAAAUGAGCAAGUACACACACAUGCACUCUCUUGAUUAUUGUUAAAAUGAGUCAUCAGCCUGAUACAAACUAGAAAAUAAUAAACUCUGCAUGCAUAUUAUAGGCACAUCUUAUUGAUAUCUUAUCACUCAAACAUAUUUUUAUCGUUUCAGUAGCUCUUGUAGUCACAAGUCUGUAAGCUUCAGCUUAUCAUCUGUACUCAUAUGCAUGGUCAUUAAUUAUUUUGCAGCAUGCAUAGCUCAGGACCAG
RNAcentral lists this unclassified non-coding RNA (473 nucleotides) under Hevea brasiliensis (rubber tree). Lineage: Eukaryota; Viridiplantae; Streptophyta; Magnoliopsida; Malpighiales; Euphorbiaceae. The record is from RNAcentral.